ACGAACGCUGGCGGCGUGCUUAACACAUGCAAGUCGAACGGAAAGGCCCUGCUUUUGUGGGGUGCUCGAGUGGCGAACGGGUGAGUAACACGUGAGUAACCUGCCCUUGACUUUGGGAUAACUUCAGGAAACUGGGGCUAAUACCGGAUAGGAGCUCCUGCUGCAUGGUGGGGGUUGGAAAGUUUCGGCGGUUGGGGAUGGACUCGCGGCUUAUCAGCUUGUUGGUGGGGUAGUGGCUUACCAAGGCUUUGACGGGUAGCCGGCCUGAGAGGGUGACCGGCCACAUUGGGACUGAGAUACGGCCCAGACUCCUACGGGAGGCAGCAGUGGGGAAUAUUGCACAAUGGGCGGAAGCCUGAUGCAGCAACGCCGCGUGCGGGAUGACGGCCUUCGGGUUGUAAACCGCUUUCGCCUGUGACGAAGCGUGAGUGACGGUAACGGGUAAAGAAGCACCGGCUAACUACGUG
RNAcentral lists this ribosomal RNA (467 nucleotides) under uncultured bacterium. Its description in RNAcentral is "partial 16S ribosomal RNA". It matches the Rfam family "Bacterial small subunit ribosomal RNA", at positions 29 to 507 of the family's 1533-position model. The record is from RNAcentral.